RNAcentral lists this ribosomal RNA (482 nucleotides) under uncultured bacterium. RNAcentral's name for it is "partial 16S ribosomal RNA". It matches the Rfam family "Bacterial small subunit ribosomal RNA", at positions 28 to 507 of the family's 1533-position model. The record is from RNAcentral.
GACGAUCGCUGGCGGCGUGCUUAACACAUGCAAGUCGAACGCUGAAGCUCAGCUUUUGUUGGGGGGAUGAGUGGCGAACGGGUGAGUAACACGUGAGUAACCUGCCCCCUUCUUUGGGAUAACGCCCGGAAACGGGUGCUAAUACUGGAUAUUCACUGGUCUUCGCCUGGGGGUUGGUGGAAAGGGUUUUUCUGGUGGGGGAUGUGCUCGCGGCCUCUCUGCUUGUUGGUGGGGAGAUGGCCUACCAAGGGUUUGACGGGUAGCCGGCGUGAGAGGGAGACCGGUCAUAUGGGGAGUGAGAUACGGCCCAGACUGGUAGGGGAGGGAGCAGUGGGGAAUAGUGCACAAGGGGGGCAAGCCUGAGGCAGCGACGCCGCGUGAGGGAUGGAGGCCUUCGGGUUGUGAACCUCUUUCGCUCAUGGUCAAGCCGCAACAAUGGUUGUGGGGAGGGUAGUGGGGAAGAAGCGCCGGCUAACUACGUG